CCAUCUGCUUAUCUUUCGGAAAUGAUGGAUAUCCACCGGCGUCGCUCACCAGACGACAAUGGCCGAACAUUCAGCAUUCGCCAAUAUUGUCUUAUUCAAUUCUUUUGAAAUUCGUGAACGUUUUUCGACUUUUGUGUAUAUCGAAGUUCAUUUGUAGAAGGCCAAAGAGUGUAUUUCAACCCAGAGAAUACAGUAUAUCCAACGGAAACACUUCCAACAACAAAAUUAACAUUGACGAGUUUUUUUUCAACUUGCGUCAGUGCUCUAUUUGGAAAUGCCUGGAUAUUUUACAUGGAAUGUAUCGUCGAAGAAAUAGUUACACAGAAAACAAGGCCAAGCAGUAGGUGGACAUGCGGGUGUGUUCUCAACUAAUGCAUUAGGACGCAUUUACACAAUCCACCCGAAAAAUGACGAUUGCUUCUACCUUUGGUUGAUAUUCAUUAAUUUACGGGGUUCAAUUUUUUUUUAGUCAUUUCUUACUAUGAAUGGUACGUUAAUCACAGAGAAGGUUCACGGCGCGGAGAUCGUAAAAAUAUUUUUGGCUAACUCGGUCGAGAUGGAAGAGUUUCACCAGAGAACGUAUAUUUAAAGAGAAGGUCCAACAACGGACAGGCGUGUAAACUGUCAAAAGCUAACAAAAUGCGAUGAGUGCAUUUCACCACAGCUAGCUAAGAAGGAGAAACUUUAACAGUGGCGCGUGAACAGAGCUGAGCAUUCAAUGAAAAUUAUGCUCAGAAAUACACAUUAGAGGUAUUCUCUUGCUCUUGCAAAACCCGGUGCACGGUGCAAGCAUUGCAAAUUUACAACGGCACAACAACAAACACACGCAGAAAAAUAUUUGCAAGGGCUGUGAAAUAUGACAGACCAAAACCCGUGUAUAUUAGCGUGCAAUGUCACGCAAAAAUAAAAUUGCGACCCUGUUGUAGUUGCCAUUUUACAUAAAGACAUAUUACGUCGUUAAAUUGUUGAGAAAGGUAAAUUUUAAUUAGAUUUUAUAAUUUCUAUUUAAAUUAUAAAGUUUUGUUACAGUUUUUUUUGUUAAAAAUGUAUGCAGAAGGUGCGCCAAUUCACAAUAGCCAUGCAAAAUAGUCAUUUACAAUAAAUUGACUGAAUCAGUCGCUCAUACAUAUAUCACUAGAUUCUGCAGUGGGUGCUCUCGUGCCCUUCCAUAUUUCGGUGUAGUAUUUUUGCAAUCUGCAAUCUUGCAAGAGCAAGAGAAUACCCCUAUUCUUAUUGAAGACGUAUGUUAGUCUUUUGGAUAUAAUUUUGUACGUUUUUACAUGCAAUCAUAUUAAUUGAUAUGAUUAUCAUUUUGCGUAUUUUUCUGAAUACAUGCAAAACUGAUAACAUUCUAAUUAAAUUAUGCUAUUUUCAAAACUAUACAUAUUUGUAGCUAAUGUGCGGAUAAGAGUUAUUUAUUAAAUAUUUAUAAUGUUUGAUAAUAUUAUAUAAUUUCAUAUAAAUAUGUAUGAAUGUGGUUGUAUAUACAUACAUAUAUACAUAUGUAUAUGAGAUACCCUAAAACACUUAAUAUUAUAUAUGUAUUACAACAAUAUCAUAUGUAAAUCACAUUUCAUUAUUUAAAUUUUCACAUGCAUCUUGAUAUUAGCACAUAGUUACAUACAUACUUAUGUAGGUAGAAUUCAAAUUCAAAUCGUAAUGUUAUCAUUUAUCAGUAAAAAGUGUGCGCGCACUGCUCUAUAUGUACAUACAUAUGCAUAUGUGUACGACAUUGCUAAACAAAUAACCCUGCCAGCAAUUCGAUAGUCAACUACGCAAAAAACACAUUUCUAGUUAACUUCUAUGAACUAACUAAAAGCUAACUACAAUGUAAUACAUAAAUACCCCACAUCAGGACGAGCAUAGAGAAUGCACGUGUUUUUGUUUUUGAUUUAUUUUCGCAUCUUUACUGUUAGUUCUUUGGAAUCUCUCUUUUCGUUAUUAGUAGGCUGUAGUCAAUUGUCCAAGAAUCAGUUGAUCAAUGGUGUGCAAGCAAAAGUGACACAAAAUUUUAAAAGAUAAAGUUAUUAAUUAAAUUAAAAAUAGUACAAAGUUAAUAAAAAAAGUAUAAAAAGUUUAGAUGUCGAUACUAAAUAUUAAACGUUCCACAUUCAGUAUUCAACCAAUGCCUCAGUGUAAGUAUUAACUACAAUAAAAAUGUUGUAUAUAACCUGGCUUCAUAGAAAUGGGUUUACAGAUAGCGACGAAACAAGCUGCUGCCCAGGUUGUAGCAGCCUGAAGGAAAAUAUUGAGCAACAAUUUAAGGAGAUGAACGGUAAGAAAUUCAAAUUGCAAAAAAUUAGCGAAACUUAAAUUAAUUUAAAUGUAAAAAAAUUCAUUUCAGAUACUAUACAAAAGCAUCAAGGUAAUUAAUCCUUUUAAAACAGAUUAUUAUUUAUAUUAAAUAUAAAUAAUUUCACUACAUCUUAAUUCUUAUUAUUAUUCGUUACCAAAUGCAAUGCAAUUAUGAAGUCGUUGGCUGAGCAGAAAGUGUUGACGGAAAGGAUUCUUCACCAAGAGGUAACCCAACAAUAAUGUACGUGCAGUUUUCCCCAUAAAAAGUGUCAACGACUUCAACACUAUUAUUAGUGAGGACAAUCGUGAUAUCUACGUUAACAGGAUGAAGCUUUGUUAAAAGGACGCCUGGCGAAAACAUUGACAGAUGUUAUUUCCCAAAGUGUGUGCAUAGAAGUCAAUUUGGAUGGAGUCCACGGCAAGAAGCGCUUGAAAGAUUGCAAAGCUUUUUACCAAACUUUAAUGGGUAACCCAUAUAUUGAAAGCAUAUACAUAUGUAUGUAUACAUAUUUCCAAUAACAUAGCUCAAAUAUAUUUUAAAUAAUUUA
Long non-coding RNA from Bactrocera dorsalis (oriental fruit fly), 2843 nucleotides. RefSeq lists it as uncharacterized. The transcript is spliced from 2 exons. NCBI's taxonomy places the organism in Eukaryota, Metazoa, Arthropoda, Insecta, Diptera, Tephritidae. The record is from RefSeq and is a predicted model, not a curated record.